AUUCAUGUCCAGGGAAAUGUGAAACAAUCAAGAGAAUUUGUUGAAGUUCGAUGAGGAAGCUCUGCAAAUCAUAUAUAUACCAUAUAUAUAAAAAAAAGUUCUCCAAAGAUCAUAAAUAAGACCAGUAUAUUUUGCUAUGGCAUCUGAGCUGUCCCACAGCAACUCACAAGGGCUCUGCUCAGCAGCGAUCCUGGACAUCAGACAGACUGCAGACGUCUUGCACAGACAGAUUUCAACAAGUAAACAAAUGCUGCUCAGCUCGGAAUGAGUUUACAGCUGAACUUUCUCAUCAUUGCCCGUCAUGAGAGAAGCCAGCAUUGUAGUGUUGACUCACGGACAAGACCUUUUCCUCCACCUCCCAUCGCAAAACACGGGAAAGCGGCAGCCCAGCAACCACAACAUGAGAAUUAAGCUUUAACCCAGUGUUCAGGAUUCAAAGCGAGCAGCGGCAAGGCGGUCCAGAGGCUGGGAUGCCGCGGAGAAACCCCGAUGCCAACAGCGCAGUCAUCGCGGCGAACUUGGGCUGGAUUUCCUCAGAAUCUUCAGGUGCAGCAUUGCAGGAUGAUGACUGGACUUGCAUCUGCUUUGGCUGUUCUCAGAACUAGCAUCAAAGAAACUUGCUUUGGAAUAGAAAAAGAUGAAUGCCAAACUCUUGAAUAAAAAAAGGGAGUCUUUGAAAGUGAAGAUGAAGAAAGUUGCCCAUUUUUUCCCCCUUUCUUAAGUAAACAAUGCAAAUAACAGUAUUUGCCACUGCUGGUUUAUGAUGGAAGAAUAAAAACAU
Molecule: long non-coding RNA, 781 nt
Organism: Strigops habroptila (Kakapo)
Lineage: Eukaryota; Metazoa; Chordata; Aves; Psittaciformes; Psittacidae
Exons: 3
Source: RefSeq, a predicted model, not a curated record